Paramuricea clavata is the source of this 221-nucleotide non-coding RNA. The record is from the annotation of a GenBank genome assembly. Lineage: Eukaryota; Metazoa; Cnidaria; Anthozoa; Malacalcyonacea; Plexauridae.
CACACAUUGGUUCUCAUCAUUGACAUUCGAUGUUAUGGGAAUUAUUUUUAACGAGUAAAACAUAACCUAAAUUAAGAGUAAUUUUGAUCAUGAAAAUGCUAGCUCACGAUAUGACGGGAAAAUAUGCAUUUUGCCGUUGUAAACAGAGCUUGGACACAUUGGACGUCUAAAACCCCUGCUAUACUCAAAACCCCUGCUAGAUUCAUUUCUUUUGUGCUAUA